GAUGAACGCUGGCGGCGUGCCUAAUACAUGCAAGUCGAGCGGACGGACGAGAAGCUUGCUUCUCUGAUGUUAGCGGCGGACGGGUGAGUAACACGUGGAUAACCUACCUAUAAGACUGGGAUAACUACGGGAAACCGGAGCUAAUACCGGAUAAUAUUUUGAACCGCAUGGUUCAAAAGUGAAAUACGGUCGUUCUGUCUCUUAUAGAUGGAUCCGCGCUGCAUUAGCUAGUUGGUAAGGUAACGGCUUACCAAGGCAACGAUGCAUAGCCGACGUGUGGGGGUGAUCGGCCACACUGGAACUGAGACGCGGUCCAGACUCCUACGGGAGGCAGCAGUAGGGAAUCGGCCGCAAUGGGCGAAAGCCUGACGGAGCAACGCCGCGUGAGUGAUGAAGGUCUUCGGAUCGUAAUGCUCUGUUAUUAGGGAAGAACAUAUGUGUAAGUAACUGUGCACAUCUUGACGGUACCUAAUCAGAAAGCCACGGCUAACUACGUG
This 497-nucleotide ribosomal RNA is filed under the name uncultured bacterium. RNAcentral describes it as "partial 16S ribosomal RNA". It matches the Rfam family "Bacterial small subunit ribosomal RNA", at positions 28 to 507 of the family's 1533-position model. The record is from RNAcentral.